This 372-nucleotide long non-coding RNA is filed under the name Mytilus galloprovincialis (Mediterranean mussel). Lineage: Eukaryota; Metazoa; Mollusca; Bivalvia; Mytilida; Mytilidae. The record is from RNAcentral.
AAUUUGAAAUCUUUGAUAUCACUUAUUGGUAUAUGAAUAUUGUCUUUGAUGGAUUAAUAACAUUUUUCUCAAAUAAAAUAGUCAGCUUGGAUGGGUAAAAACACUGAUGUACAAAUUGUUAGGCAUGAAAGGGAAAUUAUUUUCGCAGCUUGGCUUCUUUGAUCUCAUGUGUGUUUUGACAAAUUUGUUAUAUAUGGACUGACUUCAACAUAUUCAAUUAAAUACACACAACACAACUGUCUAAAUAAAAUAAAAAUCAGGGCAACAUACCCGGGGCGAACAGGUAUCAGUGCGAAUGGUCUCAGGGCGAAACGGAACUAGGGCGAACAGUAACUAGGGCGAACCGAAAUCAUGGCGGAUGGACCCGGAUUC